Long non-coding RNA from Trifolium pratense (red clover), 1313 nucleotides. RefSeq lists it as uncharacterized. The record is from RefSeq and is a predicted model, not a curated record. Lineage: Eukaryota; Viridiplantae; Streptophyta; Magnoliopsida; Fabales; Fabaceae. The transcript is spliced from 2 exons.
UAAAAUAACCUGUUUUGUGAUGAGAGUUACGAGUAUCUCUGGAAUUAGCUUCAAUAAUUUUUUUCUCAUUAAAAAAGAAGUCUAUAGUGCCAAGGCCACCUAUAUAUAUAUAAUUAUAUUCUCAACAUUGUUACACCUUUGCUAUGAAAAAAAUAAAUUAGUCUAUUGAAACAAUUUCUUUUCCUUUUCUCUCAAAUUCAUUUCAUAUUUAUCUUUGGAAACCAAAAAGAAAUGUUAAAUGGAAAGUCAAAAAUUGUAAUUCUUGCACUUUCACUUUUCUUUAGUGUAGUUAUGGUUUGUUUUUGCUGCAUUUUAGUGAGCCAUUUCGUAAAGGAAUUUGGAAAUGUACCAAAGAGAUCAACUCGAAAAAAUCAAGAUGUGUUGUGGACAGGAUUUGGAAUUUCUUUAUUUGUAAUAUUUGCUUUUGCUUUUGUUGUAUUUGCUGUAUUUUCUAGUUGUGGUAUAAUUUAUAUAAUCCAAUGUAGCACCAAGAUUGCACCUGCACCUUUGGAAGCUGGAGACUAAAAGCCAUAACUCUUAGAAUUGUGAGACAAGCAUAACUCGAUUCUACAAAAUCGACUUGUAAGGGGGUCUUGUUACACGAGUGGACACUCUGAUACCAUGUUGACAAGAGGAUCAAAAUGGAAAAGAAAACUCAUUCUCAUUGAAUUGGGAAAAAAUGAAAGUUUUUGGCGGUUAAAGAAGGAGAAACAAUAACCAAAACCGGAUUUUCGUUUGGAUGCAGAUAGUAGGGAUUCGUAGAGUUGGUGGGGAAAUCUAUGUAGUUCUGGAGUGCCAUUGUUCCAACAAGAAGACGCCUAAUCUUAACUUUGCACCAUCUAAAGAAGAUGCCGAAUCUUGAGAACGAUGUUCCAACAAGAAGUACACUAAUUAUCAUUUCUAAGCAUCUACGCAAGGACUUGAGAGUCGAUACGAAACUCCACGCAGCUAAACCUAAGUCUCCACGCAUACAACCUCCCAACACCUCACAACUCCUCAACACAUAUAUAGUACUGUACAUUUCCCCACAAAUAUGAUUAAAUUCUUUAAACUCUUCAAUAUUUUUUUUCACCACCAGUUUAAUCUGGUACGGGGUCAGUUCUGGCAUCAAGUGGUUUCAGCCCCUCCUGAUCGUAAUUGUAGGGGAUCGAACUGUGGUCCUCCCUACCAAGCUCAACGUCAAUCAUACUGAACCUAAACUCUUCAGUAUUGUACCAAACACAAAACACUUUCAAAACUAGAUUUUUUAAAAUAAAUGCUUUUAACAUGUCUUAAAACUUAUUUCAAUAAAUGUACUACUAGUUUUGUUUCGA